Molecule: ribosomal RNA, 253 nt
Filed under: uncultured bacterium
Lineage: Bacteria
Description: partial 16S ribosomal RNA
Rfam family: Bacterial small subunit ribosomal RNA
Source: RNAcentral
UACAGAGGGUGCGAGCGUUAAUCGGAAUUACUGGGCGUAAAGCGCGCGUAGGCGGCUUUGCAAGUCGGGUGUGAAAUCCCCAGGCUUAACCUGGGAACUGCAUCCGAGACUGCAUUGCUAGAGUAUGGGAGAGGGAAGUGGAAUUUCCGGUGUAGCGGUGAAAUGCGUAGAUAUCGGAAGGAACAUUAGUGGCGAAAGCGACUUCCUGGACCAAUACUGACGCUCAUGUGCGAAAUCGUUGGGAGCAAACCGG